RNAcentral lists this ribosomal RNA (253 nucleotides) under uncultured bacterium. Its description in RNAcentral is "partial 16S ribosomal RNA". It matches the Rfam family "Bacterial small subunit ribosomal RNA", at positions 524 to 776 of the family's 1533-position model. The record is from RNAcentral.
UACGGAGGGGGCAAGCGUUGUCCGGAAUUACUGGGCGUAAAGCGCGUGUAGGCGGCUGUUUAAGUCCGGUGUGAAAGCCCGGGGCUUACCCGUGGAAGGGCGCUGGAAACUGGGCGACUUGAGUAUGGAAGAGGGAAGCGGAAUUCCUCGUGUAGCGGUGAAAUGCGUAGAUAUGAGGAGGAACACCAGUGGCGAAGGCGGCUUCCUGGUCCAAUACUGACGCUGAGGCGCGAAAGCGUGGGGAGCAAACAGG